CCUACGGGAGGCAGCAGUGGGGAAUCUUAGACAAUGGGCGCAAGCCUGAUCUAGCCAUGCCGCGUGAGCGAUGAAGGCCUUAGGGUUGUAAAGCUCUUUCGUGGGGGAAGAUAAUGACGGUACCCCAAGAAGAAGCCCCGGCUAACUCCGUGCCAGCAGCCGCGGUAAUACGGAGGGGGCUAGCGUUAUUCGGAAUUACUGGGCGUAAAGCGCACGUAGGCGGAUUGGAAAGUCAGAGGUGAAAUCCCAGAGCUCAACUUUGGAACUGCCUUUGAAACUCCCAGUCUUGAGGUCGAGAGAGGUGAGUGGAAUUCCGAGUGUAGAGGUGAAAUUCGUAGAUAUUCGGAGGAACACCAGUGGCGAAGGCGGCUCACUGGCUCGAUACUGACGCUGAGGUGCGAAAGCGUGGGAAGCAAACAGGAUUAGAUACCCUGGUAGUCCACGCCGUAAACGAUGAAUGCCAGUCGUCGGGUAGCAUGCUAUUCGGUGACACACCUAACGGAUUAAGCAUUCCGCCUGGGGAGUACGGCCGCAAGGUUAAAACUUAAAGGAAUUGACGGCUGAGACGNGCGAGACGACACGAGGAGAG
This 589-nucleotide ribosomal RNA is filed under the name uncultured bacterium. Its description in RNAcentral is "bacterial SSU rRNA". It matches the Rfam family "Bacterial small subunit ribosomal RNA", at positions 338 to 948 of the family's 1533-position model. The record is from RNAcentral.